UCGUCCGAGAUACUGGGAACCAUGGCGGUGUCGGUGGAAAAAAUCCCGGGCUGCUGGAGAUGCUCAGCUUACCCCAGCAGCCGGCUGGCUCCUGUCCGGGCGGGUGUGCAAACAGCCCGGGGAUGAAUGUGGCUCAAAACCAACAAUUUCGAACUAGCAGAGCCAAACUUAGUUUAGGCCAGCAUUUGACCACAGUCUAAUUUACUAUCCACGCAGAACAGACCUCAGAAUUUGAAGAUACACUAAAACUUCAAAUGGCCAUGCACAUCACAGACUGCAUCACCAAGAAGAGCUCCGUGACCUCAUCCCUGGACUAUCUGGAAACACCCUCACUUCUCCCUUCACCUUCGGUGUAGUGACCUCUGAAUUGCCUCGUCAGUUCCUAGGCUUUGUGGACAGGGAUAUGUCCUAUACACACCUCUGCAAAGCACACGGGCUGUCUGUCCUUCUGUCAUAAUAACCAGGUGACGGUAUAUCUUUGCUACAACAGACACCACGCAAGCCAACUGAAGGUAAACAAAGUUUAGUAGCUGGAAUGACCCUGUAAUUUAAACAAGUUGUUACAUGGGGGUAGCCAGAGAGAUGGCUGCGGUCCAAAAGACUUCUCCUACACCCUGGGUGCAAUCCUGCUCUUACACAAGGUCUGUAUCUCCUCUCAGACGAGCUGGUACCUAAACCUGCGGGAUCACAGUAGGGAUCCCAGCCGGUCGGUCAGAGGCACGAUGAUACAGCACUCCACAAAACGGAUAAGCAAAAUACUCGUGUGAGGUUUGGAACGGUCGUUUCUCCCAGAUAAGGGGCUCGAAGCAAGGCAGGAUCCGAGCUUCGGGAUUCAAUUCAGUUAAACGUUUACGUACAGGCAACCAAUUCAAACCAACGUGCUCCUGCCCCCGCCCCCGUCCAGGGCUUCCCUGCAGCUCCGCACAACCGCGCCGCUGCUGCUUUAAGAGGACGCUUGGCGUCC
Molecule: long non-coding RNA, 964 nt
Organism: Harpia harpyja (harpy eagle)
Lineage: Eukaryota; Metazoa; Chordata; Aves; Accipitriformes; Accipitridae
Exons: 3
Source: RefSeq, a predicted model, not a curated record